RNAcentral lists this ribosomal RNA (1104 nucleotides) under Escherichia coli. RNAcentral describes it as "partial 23S ribosomal RNA". It matches the Rfam family "Bacterial large subunit ribosomal RNA", at positions 460 to 1569 of the family's 2925-position model. Lineage: Bacteria; Pseudomonadati; Pseudomonadota; Gammaproteobacteria; Enterobacterales; Enterobacteriaceae. The record is from RNAcentral.
CCAAGGCUAAAUACUCCUGACUGACCGAUAGUGAACCAGUACCGUGAGGGAAAGGCGAAAAGAACCCCGGCGAGGGGAGUGAAAAAGAACCUGAAACCGUGUACGUACAAGCAGUGGGAGCCUCUUAAUGGGGUGACUGCGUACCUUUUGUAUAAUGGGUCAGCGACUUAUAUUCUGUAGCAAGGUUAACCGAAUAGGGGAGCCGAAGGGAAACCGAGUCUUAACUGGGCGUUAAGUUGCAGGGUAUAGACCCGAAACCCGGUGAUCUAGCCAUGGGCAGGUUGAAGGUUGGGUAACACUAACUGGAGGACCGAACCGACUAAUGUUGAAAAAUUAGCGGAUGACUUGUGGCUGGGGGUGAAAGGCCAAUCAAACCGGGAGAUAGCUGGUUCUCCCCGAAAGCUAUUUAGGUAGCGCCUCGUGAAUUCAUCUCCGGGGGUAGAGCACUGUUUCGGCAAGGGGGUCAUCCCGACUUACCAACCCGAUGCAAACUGCGAAUACCGGAGAAUGUUAUCACGGGAGACACACGGCGGGUGCUAACGUCCGUCGUGAAGAGGGAAACAACCCAGACCGCCAGCUAAGGUCCCAAAGUCAUGGUUAAGUGGGAAACGAUGUGGGAAGGCCCAGACAGCCAGGAUGUUGGCUUAGAAGCAGCCAUCAUUUAAAGAAAGCGUAAUAGCUCACUGGUCGAGUCGGCCUGCGCGGAAGAUGUAACGGGGCUAAACCAUGCACCGAAGCUGCGGCAGCGACACUAUGUGUUGUUGGGUAGGGGAGCGUUCUGUAAGCCUGUGAAGGUGGCCUGUGAGGGUUGCUGGAGGUAUCAGAAGUGCGAAUGCUGACAUAAGUAACGAUAAAGCGGGUGAAAAGCCCGCUCGCCGGAAGACCAAGGGUUCCUGUCCAACGUUAAUCGGGGCAGGGUGAGUCGACCCCUAAGGCGAGGCCGAAAGGCGUAGUCGAUGGGAAACAGGUUAAUAUUCCUGUACUUGGUGUUACUGCGAAGGGGGGACGGAGAAGGCUAUGUUGGCCGGGCGACGGUUGUCCCGGUUUAAGCGUGUAGGCUGGUUUUCCAGGCAAAUCCGGAAAACCAAGGCUGAGGCGUGAUGA